GACGAACGCUGGCGGCGUGCCUAAUACAUGCAAGUAGAACGCUGAAGGAGGAGCUUGCUUCUCUGGAUGAGUUGCGAACGGGUGAGUAACGCGUAGGUAACCUGCCUGGUAGCGGGCGAUAACUAUUGGAAACGAUAGCUAAUACCGCAUAACAGUAGAUAUCGCAUGAUAUCUACUUGAAAGGUGCAAUUGUAUUACUACCAGAUGGACCUGCUUUGUAUUAGCUAGUUGGUGUGGUAACGGCUCACCACGGCGACGAUACAUAGCCGACCUGGGAGGGGGGGCGGCCACACAGGGACUGAGACACGGCCCAGACUCCUCCGGGAGGCAGCAGUGGGGAAUCUUCGGCAGUGGACGGAAGUCUGACCGAGCGAAGCCGCGUGAGUGAAGAGGGUGUUCGGAUCGUGAAGCUCUGUUGUAAGGGAAGAACGGGUGUGAGGGUGGAAAGGUGACACGGUGGACGUUACUUACAAGAAAGGGACGGCUAAACUCGUGC
This 496-nucleotide ribosomal RNA is filed under the name uncultured bacterium. Its description in RNAcentral is "partial 16S ribosomal RNA". It matches the Rfam family "Bacterial small subunit ribosomal RNA", at positions 28 to 508 of the family's 1533-position model. The record is from RNAcentral.